This 253-nucleotide ribosomal RNA is filed under the name uncultured bacterium. RNAcentral's name for it is "partial 16S ribosomal RNA". It matches the Rfam family "Bacterial small subunit ribosomal RNA", at positions 524 to 776 of the family's 1533-position model. The record is from RNAcentral.
UACGGAGGAGGCAAGCGUUAUCCGGAACUAUUGGGCGUAAAGCGUCCGCAGGUGGCACUUCAAGUCUGUCGUCAAAGACUGGGGCUUAACCCUGGAAAGGCGGUGGAAACUGAAGCGCUAGAGUGCGGUAGGGGUAGAGGGAAUUCCCGGUGUAGCGGUGAAAUGCGUAGAGAUCGGGAAGAACAUCGGUGGCGAAAGCGCUCUACUGGACCGCAACUGACACUCAGGGGCGAAAGCUAGGGGAGCGAAUGGG